AUGAGAUCAUGCCCUUCGGGGUAGACCUCCCACCCUUUGUUUACAAUACCUUUGUUGCUUUGGCGGCCCCGUCGCAAGACAACCGGCUCCGGCUGGUCAGCGGCCGCCAGAGGACUCAAAACUCAUAUUAUUAUUGUCGUCUGAGUACUAUAUAAUAGUUA
Molecule: unclassified non-coding RNA, 161 nt
Filed under: uncultured fungus
Lineage: Eukaryota; Fungi
Description: sequence contains ITS1, 5.8S rRNA gene
Source: RNAcentral